UAAUACAGAGGGUGCGAGCGUUGUUCGGAAUCAUUGGGCGUAAAGGGCGUGUAGGCGGUUUGUUAAGUCAUGUGUGAAAUCCCUCGGCUCAACCGGGGAAGGACGCAUGAAACUGACAAGCUAGAGUACCAAAGAGGGGGGUGGAAUUCCCGGUGUAGCGGUGAAAUGCGUAGAUAUCGGGA
This 182-nucleotide ribosomal RNA is filed under the name uncultured bacterium. RNAcentral's name for it is "partial 16S ribosomal RNA". It matches the Rfam family "Bacterial small subunit ribosomal RNA", at positions 521 to 702 of the family's 1533-position model. The record is from RNAcentral.